This 465-nucleotide ribosomal RNA is filed under the name uncultured bacterium. Its description in RNAcentral is "partial 16S ribosomal RNA". It matches the Rfam family "Bacterial small subunit ribosomal RNA", at positions 28 to 507 of the family's 1533-position model. The record is from RNAcentral.
GACGAACGCUGGCGGCGUGCUUAACACAUGCAAGUCGAACGGAAAGGCCCCUUCGGGGGUACUCGAGUGGCGAACAGGUGAGUAACACGUGAGUAACCUGCCCUUGACUUCGGGAUAACUUCAGGAAACUGGGGCUAAUACCGGAUAGGAAUCCUUGCUGCAUGGUGGGGGUUGGAAAGCUUCGGCGGUUUUGGAUGGACUCGCGGCUUAUCAGCUUGUUGGUGGGGUAGUGGCUUACCAAGGCUUUGACGGGUAGCCGGCCUGAGAGGGCGACCGGCCACAUUGGGACUGAGAUACGGCCCAGACUCCUACGGGAGGCAGCAGUGGGGAAUAUUGCAUAAUGGGCGGAAGCCUGAUGCAGCAACGCCGCGUGCGGGAUGACGGCCUUCGGGUUGUAAACCGCUUUCAGCAGGGGCGAAGCUUGUGGUGACGGUACCUGCAGAAGAAGCACCGGCUAACUACGUG